GCAGCCGCGGUAAUUCCAGCUCCAAUAGCGUAUAUUAAAGUUGCUGCAGUUAAAAAGCUCGUAGUUGAAUUUCGGGACCAAUAUGUCGGUCGUGCCUCGGUACGUACUGGCAUCGUUGGUUUCUCCCUUCUGACGAACCAUGAUGUCAUUUAUUUGGUGUCGUGGGGAAUCAGGACUGUUACUUUGAAAAAAUUAGAGUGUUUAAAGCAGGCUCACGCUUGAAUACAUUAGCAUGGAAUAAUGAAAUAGGACGUUUGAUUCUAUUUUGUUGGUUUCUAGGAUCGACGUAAUGAUUAAUAGGGAUAGUUGGGGGCAUUAGUAUUCAAUUGUCAGAGGUGAAAUUCUUGGAUUUAUUGAAGACUAACUACUGCGAAAGCAUUUGCCAAGGAUGUUUUCAUUAAUCAAGAACGAAAGUUAGGGGAUCGAAGACGAUCAGAUACCGUCGUAGUCUUAACCAUAAACUAUGCCGACUAGGGAUCGGAUGAUGUUAAUUUUUUAAUGACUCAUUCGGCGCCUUAC
Molecule: ribosomal RNA, 519 nt
Filed under: uncultured Glomus
Lineage: Eukaryota; Fungi; Glomeromycota; Glomeromycetes; Glomerales; Glomeraceae
Description: SSU rRNA
Rfam family: Eukaryotic small subunit ribosomal RNA
Source: RNAcentral